Molecule: long non-coding RNA, 266 nt
Filed under: Elaeis guineensis (African oil palm)
Lineage: Eukaryota; Viridiplantae; Streptophyta; Magnoliopsida; Arecales; Arecaceae
Description: long non-coding RNA (EGUI_LNC015943)
Source: RNAcentral
GCCCUUGGAAAAUAGAUGUCCCUAUGCGGUCAAUUUCGUCAUCUUCUGCUAGUUUAGAUCAUAAGAAAGCACACACAUUUACGACACAGCGCUUCUCAACGUCAGCUCAGGUAGAGAGGAAAGGAAAAAGGUAUCCGAAGAGGAAAGGAAAAUGUCUGAAUUUGCUCGGUCAGAUCGAUCAAGAGCCUAACCAUGAACCGGUUUGCAAUUCAAAUGGAUGUUUUUGGAAAUUUCAAGAGGCAAACUGUUUCAAAAAACAAGCUGGA